Molecule: non-coding RNA, 222 nt
Organism: Pelobates cultripes (western spadefoot toad)
Lineage: Eukaryota; Metazoa; Chordata; Amphibia; Anura; Pelobatidae
Source: the annotation of a GenBank genome assembly
UCUAAAUCGGAAGCAUAGCUAAUCCUCUGAGUGUUAUUCCUAUAAACUGUCCUUUUUAAGACAAGCUUCAGUCAGUCAGAAGUUAAAGGCUAAGAAGCAGUGUAGGUGACUUCACUUUAGUAGGGCAUCAUCUCAGCUAUGCCUUUCACAGAGCUGAAUUAUUCAUAUGGUGGCAUAGGCCACCCUCCUAGGGUCUGAGAUCUCCCACAUACAACACUCAGC